ACGAACGCUAGCGGCGCGCCUAAGGCAUGCAAGUCGAACGGACCCGCAAGGGUUAGUGGCGAACGGUCGAGUAACACGUAGACAACCUGCCUCCGCAGUGGGGGGUAACAGCCCGAAAGGGCUGCUAAUACCGCAUGUGGCCGGGAAGCGAUGCUUCUCGCGCUCAAGGAGCCAUUCGCUGGGAGAUGGGUCUGCGGCCUAUCAGGUAGUUGGUGGGGUAACGGCCCACCAAGCCGACGACGGGUAGCUGGUCUGAGAGGAUGAGCAGCCGGACGGGGACUGAGACACGGCCCCGACUCCUUCGGGAGGCAGCAAUGAGGAAUCUUGCACAAUGGGCGAAAGCCUGAUGCAGCGACGCCGCGUGGGUGAGGAAGGUCUUCGGAAUGUAAAGCCCUUUUACCGGGGACGAUUAAUGACGGUACCCGGUGAAUAAGCCCCGGCUAACUACGU
RNAcentral lists this ribosomal RNA (450 nucleotides) under uncultured bacterium. RNAcentral's name for it is "bacterial SSU rRNA". It matches the Rfam family "Bacterial small subunit ribosomal RNA", at positions 29 to 506 of the family's 1533-position model. The record is from RNAcentral.